This 1453-nucleotide long non-coding RNA is filed under the name Cyanistes caeruleus (blue tit). RNAcentral describes it as "lncRNA (ENSCCEG00000010308.1)". Lineage: Eukaryota; Metazoa; Chordata; Aves; Passeriformes; Paridae. The record is from RNAcentral.
AGUUAACUUGGAAUGUUACAGAUUCUAUUCCCUGAGAACAGAAUUCCUCAGAUUAAAUCUCUGUGCUUUGACAGAGGGUGUGCUUUAAAUAAAAUUAAAUCCUGAGAAUAAGAAUAUAAAUAUAUAACUGGCCACGCAUUUAUAAAUCUUGAAAAGGUUAGUGUAGAGUCAGUGGCACAUGAAUGAGUGAAGUAACAGGAAACUUCAAGAGAGAGGAAGCACUUUUAGGGCAGAUGUUUAAAUUACUAUUUCUAUUCUUCUAAGGAUUUGAAUAUUUAUAUCUUAAGUCAUAAAAAUACACACACUUGAGGGGAAGAAAGAAGUUCAGUUUUUGAUAUUUUUAUGAUUGUAGUGGGCGAAUCUAUCAUCAGAGUGUUUUUCUGGUCUGUCAGGCAAGAAAGAGCAAACAUAUGUUAGCUUCAUCAUGGAAUUUUUCCCAUGGCACCAGAAGUCAAUGUAUAUGUACUUAUGUUGAUAUACAUUUAGGGGUUGCUUCAAGUAGUCAUUAACAGAAGCUUAUGUUAAUUUAAAACAUGUAAACCAGAAUUGAUUUAUAUUAAGUAUAGAACUUUCCAUAUCACCUCUGACUUUGAAAGGCUGGUACUUCUGGUGUCUUUGAUUUAUUUUUUUCAUGGAAUGUAUUCCUUCAAGUUCAUGAUCAUAGUCAGUGAAUUUCUAAGCACCUGAUUUUCUUUAACAUGAAUUUUUCUGUCUGCUGAGAUGACAUAAUAAAAUCUUGCUCACAUAAGCUAGAACUAUGAGAAAGAUGUGGAAUUUCAUAUUUAAAUUCAGUAAUGGCUUGCUGUUUCAUUUAAAUCAGUUUUAACAAAUUAAUGUAGCUUUCUUUAUUCUUAGAAGUGAUUGGAUAAUAUAUUAAUCAAAUUUUACUUAAUUCUUUCCCUGAAUUUAAGAACUUGGAAAGAUGGCUGCGUUCUGCACUGUGAAAUCAAAGUCCAGAGACCAUUUAAGGGACAAUAAUUGCAGAAAACAAAUAAAGAAGAGGAGCCUUAAAGAAUACAUAGAGAUUUUGAAACAAGAAGUGUGAAACAAAUCCUUGUCCUGCUCAGGCCCCCCAGCUGUGCAACAUGAUCUAAAACUGUUAAUUAGACUUGUAAUACUUUGACAAAUUCUUCCAGCUGACCUAACCCUGAGGUAUGUGUGACUGCUUAUUGUUACUUUCUUUUCAUUCUUAGUUUGUGCUUUUACAAUAUGUUGAGCAUUUAGAAAGUAAAUGUUCUUGUUACCUGAGGUUCUGUAAUCUUGUUGUGUCGUUUAAAUAAUUUAAUCCUUUUGGAGUUGUCAAAUUUAUGUUUCAGUGUUUGUCCCAGUGGUCUGGAAGGAUGUAAUCACUAGUGGAUCCAGAAAAAGAAGUAAUCUCAUAGGAAAGAAAUCAACAAUUUUUGAUAAAAGUUUUAGAGAAUAUGGGGAGAUAUCAGAGUCCUUAGAAGAAAAG